GCAGCAAGUAAAAAGAAAUAAUGGAAAUAAUAAUGUCAAGCAUUUGGAGUAAUAUCAAGAUGUAUCCAGUAAGCCUUGAAGAAAAAUCAAAAGAACUCAAGUAUCUAAUUGCCUAGUAUUAAAAUAGCUGAUGUUUUUUUUAAGAGAGAGUAAUAGUUCGUUGCUUAAGAGGUUGAGAAAUGUCCCUUAAUUGAAAAGAAUAGUAGUUUAUAUAGAAAAGGAGAUUGGAGGAUAAAAGGAAAAAAUAAUUUUUAACAAUCAAUCAUGAUCAAUUAAGGAGAGGAAAAUAUUUUAUUGAGAUUUGUCAAAUGAGAUUUUUCAUAAAUAAAGAAAUCUUAUGUAAUAUCAAAUUCAGUCAAAGCAACUAAGAAGGAAAAUAUCUGUCAAGUAAAAAUCAAACAUAUUCUUCCCGAAGUAAUUUAGCAUCGGUCUAAAUUAAUAAAAAAAAUAGAAAUAUCAAUCAAUAGGAUUCAAUCAACCAAUUAUUGACGAAUCAGUCCAAAAAAUAAAAGAAAACAUGUGUUAAGCAAAAUCAAUCAACAAUAAUUAAUUUUCUAAUGUAGAAUUUACUAGAGGCGAAUUUACCAUGAAUAUUAAUCCUAUUAUUUUGAGAGAGAUUCGCUCAAUCACCAAUCAAAUUUUUCCUAAAUUAGUGAAUAAACUAUUUCACCAAAAUUAAACCAUUAGUCCCUAAACGAAAAGGUCCAUAGUUAACGGAUUGACGUCAUAAUAGAGGGGUUAAAAUUUUCACCAAAGUCAAGCAAGUAAUCCCCCCUCAACAGAGCAAACUACCCAAAAUAUUACAACAAUACAAUAAUCACAAAACACAUGCACAUUUGCACAAACACAAGUCAAAGACAGUUUUAAAUGAACUAAAAAAGAAAUCAGAUACAAGAACAAAAGAUGGAUUGCAGAAGGUUAAGAGCUUAAAACAAGAAAUCAAACCUACUUCAUGAACUUUUUGGUGGAUUUUGCCCGAAAUAACGGCGAUGGUGGCUGGGUCUCACCGACUAUUUUUGUCGAUUGCAUGGCUGGUCGGCAAAGACAGGAAAGAGAGGACAGAGGGGGAUGACUCGCGACUUGGUGGAGGGGGUAGAUCUAUGGGACGGCGCUGGAGUGGUGGCUCCGAUCGGUAGCGGGAGGCUAGUCGUUACUGGCUGUGGCGAAGACGAACGACGAGACUCAGGAAAGGGGAUUGUCGUCUCUGGUCAUUGCUGGUUCGUCGGAGGAGGCACUAGCGACGAAGGGGGUCGGUGAUGCUUGGUCAUGGUUGGUAUCCGAUGUGGACGGUGUUCGACAGCCAUGGCUGCCUCCCAUUGAGUGAGAGAGAGAGAGAGAAUUUGAGGGAAAAGGAGGAAGAGAGAAAG
This 1367-nucleotide long non-coding RNA is filed under the name Capsicum annuum. RNAcentral's name for it is "long non-coding RNA (CANN_LNC021212)". The record is from RNAcentral. Lineage: Eukaryota; Viridiplantae; Streptophyta; Magnoliopsida; Solanales; Solanaceae.